CAAAUUAGAAAUUAGAAGGUAAUCAGAUAACAAAUCUGUAUUACUAAUUUUUUUGGAUAAGAACAUUAUUUAUUUUAUUGACGACGGUGAGUGGAAAAACUGUCGUCCAAAUCCUAGUUGUUCAAACUCCCCCAACUUUCAAUCACAGCCGUAAUAACUCAACAUUUACAGUUUUCCGGCGGUUCCCUUCGCUUCUUGUCGAUGACUCCCCUACCUCCCACGUUUCGCUUCUCUGUAACUCCUCCCAUGAUCUCCCCCUUAUUUCUCUCUUGGCUACACGAUUGUGUGUGAAGGUUUCUUUGAUUGGAGUACAAGAAAGACCAUCAACUCCCUCGUCCUUUUCUUCUCCACGUUCUUCAACCAUCUUCAUUCACCUUGAUUUCCCACGUUUGUCCUUCUUCGAUGCUUAACCUAAACCGCAGAAGCCAUCAUCCAACUACUUCUUCAACCUUCCAGCAUGCCAUUUACAGGUUUUUUUCAGUUAUUGGAGGCGCACAGUCGUCUUCAACCUCGCAGCACACAAUUCCAUGAUUGCUAGAAAUCAGGUGGUUUAGAUUAAUUGUCUUGUCUAUAUAAAGAGUUGAAUUUCACUGUAAUUGUUUUAAUCAUAGUUGUCGAUUGAUAAUUGUUGGAAUAAAUAGUUGCUUCUGUUGAUCCAAUGGCUUCCGAUUUGUCUGACAUACCUUCACUUAAGGUAAAAAAUCAUUUGUUUACUCGAUUUCGAUUGUUUGUAUCUCAUUGCAUUUGUUUGUUUCAAUUGGUAAAACUAAUUGAUUCGUUUGAUUUAAUGUUUUUGCCAAUUCGUAUAUUCUUUCUUCACGUAAGGUUAACUUAUUGUCUCGAUUCCUUUGAUAUUUAGUCUAUUGUAUAAUCAAAUUCGAUAUAUAAUUGAGGCUAAUGUCCAUUAAUGUUUAAAAUUUCGAUUUCAUAUGUAUUAAAAAUUGUGUUAUCGUAUACUUGUUAUGUAGAACGUUGAAGUUGUUGCUUUAAAAAUGAAUCCACCGACAGAUGUAUCAAAAUCGAUAGUUGAUCCUAAUGAUUCCAAUUCGUCUGUCAUACCUUCACCUGAGAACUUUGAAGAUGUUUAUUGAAAAGUCAAUCAACUAUCAGAUGUAUCACAAUCGACAUUUGAUCCUAAUGAUUCCAAUUCGUCUGACAUCUGCUCACCUAAGAAAUUUGGAGAUUUUGAUGGAAAAGUCAAUACACAUUCAGAGGUAUCAAAAUCGACAUGUCACUCUGAUUCUGAUAGUGUUGAAAUAAUCGACUUUAGUGUUCACUUCAGUCCCUACAAAUCCCAGUUGGAGAGGGUGAUUUCAGAAGAGGUAACGAUUUUAUGAGUUUUGUUUUCAGAUAGAUAUGCAUGUAAAUUUGUUUUUCUCUUUCAUGUUUCUUUAAUUGCCAAAGAAGAGGAGAAGCUGGCAAGAAAAGAAAAAAAGGAAGUUGGCUUUGUUAUGUUGGAAGUGGGAAGAAGUUGUAGAUCUAUGUGAAGAUGAAGACUUGGGUGUAGAUCUACCAUUCAUACCACUGAAAAAGAAAGUGAAAGUUUCCAUUCAAUCUCGAAAUCGAGUCACGAAACUUUUUGAUGAAUCAGAUGUUGAUGAGUGAUUUAGAAUUAACUUUGUUAAUUUUUUUUUUGUUUUUUGUAUUGUUCUUUUGGAUUUGCUGCAGUUAGUGGUUAUUUGUUUUUUUGAAUUAAUGUUUAUAAGUUUUUCAAUUGUAGUUAAUUGUUUUUUAUGUUA
Molecule: non-coding RNA, 1739 nt
Organism: Lactuca sativa (garden lettuce)
Lineage: Eukaryota; Viridiplantae; Streptophyta; Magnoliopsida; Asterales; Asteraceae
Source: RefSeq, a predicted model, not a curated record